GGAGAUGGUUUUCUCUUGCAAAAUUUUUUCCGAAGUAUUUUUAGUUCUGAAGAUACUGCAACACCAAUAUUGCUUUGACCAGAUAAAUCCAACAUCUUAAUAUUAAGUAUUUUCAACUUAUUUGUCUAACUAAGUGAAGCGUUAAAACAGGAAACGAACGAAUAUUGUUUCUUUCCGGUUAAGCAAUCUUGGUGAAUGAACAAUCGACAUUCAUGUUUCUGUUGUCAAUGUUAUGUCAGUUGUUUGCGACGGCAAAUCUUCUCACAUCUUUACCAGGAUAAGCUGUAACAAAGAGUGUCAAUUGGCAGCUGUAACCGAAUGGACAAGAGUGAGUCGGAGGAGAAUUUACACAAGAAAUUGGCUUCCGAUCAGUUUGAUGUUAUCGCAGAGGCCAUCACUCCGAAAACGUUGGGAGAUUGUGGUACGAACACCUUGUUGAAGGCAUUUGAG
Long non-coding RNA from Stylophora pistillata, 450 nucleotides. The record is from RefSeq and is a predicted model, not a curated record. Lineage: Eukaryota; Metazoa; Cnidaria; Anthozoa; Scleractinia; Pocilloporidae.